UAGUCAAGAUGAGAAUUCUAAGGUGAGCGAGCGAACUCUCGUUAAGGAACUCGGCAAAAUGACCCCGUAACUUCGGGAGAAGGGGUGCUCUUUAGGGUUAACGCCCAGAAGAGCCGCAGUGAAUAGGCCCAAGCGACUGUUUAUCAAAAACACAGGUCUCUGCUAAACCGUAAGGUGAUGUAUAGGGGCUGACGCCUGCCCGGUGCUGGAAGGUUAAGAGGAGUGGUUAGCUUCUGCGAAGCUACGAAUCGAAGCCCCAGUAAACGGCGGCCGUAACUAUAACGGUCCUAAGGUAGCGAAAUUCCUUGUCGGGUAAGUUCCGACCCGCACGAAAGGCGUAACGAUUUGGGCACUGUCUCAACGAGAGACUCGGUGAAAUCAUAGUACCUGUGAAGAUGCAGGUUACCCGCGACAGGACGGAAAGACCCCGUGGAGCUUUACUGUAGCCUGAUAUUGAAAUUCGGCACAGCUUGUACAGGAUAGGUAGGAGCCUUUGAAACGUGAGCGCUAGCUUACGUGGAGGCGCUGGUGGGAUACUACCCUAGCUGUGUU
Molecule: ribosomal RNA, 552 nt
Filed under: Staphylococcus aureus
Lineage: Bacteria; Bacillati; Bacillota; Bacilli; Caryophanales; Staphylococcaceae
Description: partial 23S ribosomal RNA
Rfam family: Bacterial large subunit ribosomal RNA
Source: RNAcentral